Molecule: ribosomal RNA, 497 nt
Filed under: uncultured bacterium
Lineage: Bacteria
Description: partial 16S ribosomal RNA
Rfam family: Bacterial small subunit ribosomal RNA
Source: RNAcentral
GAUGAACGCUGGCGGCGUGCCUAAUACAUGCAAGUCGAGCGAACGGACGAGAAGCUUGCUUCUCUGAUGUUAGCGGCGGACGGGUGAGUAACACGUGGAUAACCUACCUAUAAGACUGGGAUAACUUCGGGAAACCGGAGCUAAUACCGGAUGAUAUUUUGAACCGCAUGGUUCAAAAGUGAAAGACGGUCUUGCUGUCACUUAUAGAUGGAUCCGCGCUGCAUUAGCUAGUUGGUAAGGUAACGGCUUACCAAGGCAACGAUGCAUAGCCGACCUGAGAGGGUGAUCGGCCACACUGGAACUGAGACACGGUCCAGACUCCUACGGGAGGCAGCAGUAGGGAAUCUUCCGCAAUGGGCGAAAGCCUGACGGAGCAACGCCGCGUGAGUGAUGAAGGUCUUCGGAUCGUAAAACUCUGUUAUUAGUGAAGAACAUAUGUGUAAGUAACUGUGCACAUCUUGACGGUACCUAAUCAGAAAGCCCCGGCUAACUACGUG